GAUGAACGCUGGCGGCGUGCCUAAUACAUGCAAGUCGAGCGAUCAGACGAGGAGCUUGCUCCUUUGACGUUAGCGGCGGACGGGUGAGUAACACGUGGGUAACCUACCUAUAAGACUGGGAUAACUUCGGGAAACCGGAGCUAAUACCGGAUAAUAUUUCGAACCUCAUGGUUCGAUAGUGAAAGAUGGCUCUGCUAUCACUUAUAGAUGGACCUGCGCCGUAUUAGCUAGUUGGUAAGGUAACGGCUUACCAAGGCAACGAUACGUAGCCGACCUGAGAGGGUGAUCGGCCACACUGGAACUGAGACACGGUCCAGACUCCUACGGGAGGCAGCAGUAGGGAAUCUUCCGCAAUGGGCGAAAGCCUGACGGAGCAACGCCGCGUGAGUGAUGAAGGUCUUCGGAUCGUAAAACUCUGUUAUUAGGGAAGAACAAACGUGUAAGUAACUGUGCACGUCGUGACGGUACCUAAUCAGAAAGCCACGGCUAACUACGUG
RNAcentral lists this ribosomal RNA (497 nucleotides) under uncultured bacterium. RNAcentral's name for it is "partial 16S ribosomal RNA". It matches the Rfam family "Bacterial small subunit ribosomal RNA", at positions 28 to 507 of the family's 1533-position model. The record is from RNAcentral.